Non-coding RNA from Salmo salar (Atlantic salmon), 54 nucleotides. Lineage: Eukaryota; Metazoa; Chordata; Actinopteri; Salmoniformes; Salmonidae. The record is from Rfam.
AACCUAAGUGUAUGUAAGUCGCUCUGGAUAAGAGCGUCUGCUAAAUGACGUAAA